This is a long non-coding RNA of Rhinichthys klamathensis goyatoka, 673 nucleotides long. RefSeq lists it as uncharacterized. The transcript has 3 exons. NCBI's taxonomy places the organism in Eukaryota, Metazoa, Chordata, Actinopteri, Cypriniformes, Leuciscidae. The record is from RefSeq and is a predicted model, not a curated record.
CCUGGUAACUGGCGCGCGCGGUUUCUAUCCAAUAAAAGAGCGCGUGAUGUGUUCGCAGUUAUGCGGUGGAACUGUUUUACCCAACAUCCCUACUUUUCAUGGGAUUAUUGCAUUAAUGUAGAAACUAAUUAUUGUGACUAACAUCACGGUCUUUUCCUUUGGGGUGACUAGUAAGCAGAUGUCGAGGUAAAUGGACCAAAAAAGCACAUUUCUUUUCUAUGGUGAUGAGUGGAUAUUUCUGGAGAAGUACCCAGCACAAAAUCUAUUUGCAUAAUCUUGAUCAGAUGUGAUAAUACGGUACCUGUUCUGAGAAAAACAUGAUAUUCACACCAUUCUUACACAACCUGCCUGCCUCUCACUGGUAAAAUCACAAUUGCCAGGUUUCUGUUCCAUUCAGUAUACGCUCAUGUGCUUUUGUACCAGGUGAGCCAAUACUGACAAAAAACUUUUGGUGUAACAAGCAAGAGGACAAUGGAGCAUCUGCUGUCUAUAAGGCUAAAAUUACAGGUUAUGAAAAGAGCCCCAUGGAUUUUUCAUGGGAUGGGGGGGGGGGGGGGGGGUAAAAGCAUUCCCUGACAAAGCCUGUAACCUCCCACAUAAUAAUAUUUACUUGUGUUGUUUGCUCUGUCUCUAUGCCUUUCACUUUAUUGUUGCUUUUUCUUUGUUAGACAAU